Molecule: ribosomal RNA, 2287 nt
Filed under: Crangon crangon
Lineage: Eukaryota; Metazoa; Arthropoda; Malacostraca; Decapoda; Crangonidae
Description: bacterial LSU rRNA
Rfam family: Bacterial large subunit ribosomal RNA
Source: RNAcentral
AGGGCAUACGGUGGAUGACUUGGGAUUGAGAGCCGAAGAAGGACGUGAUUACCUGCGAUAAGCCUUGGUGAGCUGGAAAUAAGCUUUGAACCAGGGAUUUCCGAAUGGGGAAACCCAGAACAAUAAGUUCUAUCUUAAUAGUGAAUACAUAGCUAUUUUGAAGGUAACGUUGGGAACUGAAACAUCUAAGUACCAACAGGAAGAGAAAGAGAAUUCGAUUCCGUUAGUAGCGGCGAGCGAAAGCGGAGGAGCCCAAACCAAUAAUUUAUUAUUGGGGUUGUAGGACUACCUAUACGAAGUUACAAAUUGUUUAUAUAGAAGAACACAGCUGGGAAGCUGGGGCAUAGAGGGUGAAACCCCCGUAUUUGAAAUGUAAACAGCUUCUGGUAGUAUCCUGAGUAGGGCGGGGCACGUGAAACCCUGUCUGAAUCUACCCGGACCAUCGGGUAAGGCUAAAUACUACUCAAUCACCGAUAGUGCACUAGUACCGUGAGGGAAAGUUGAAAAGAACCCCGGAAGGGGAGUGAAAUAGAUCCUGAAACCGUAUUGCCUACAAGAAGUCAAAGCCCGUUAAUGGGUGAUGGCGUGCCUUUUGCAGAAUGAGCCGGCGAGUUACGAUAGCAUGCGAGGUUAAAGAAAUGGAGCCGUAGGGAAACCGAGUCUUAAUAGGGCGAAUUAGUAUGUUGUUGUAGACCCGAAACCAGGUGAUCUAUCCAUGAGCAGGGUGAAGUAUUAGUAACAUAAUAUGGAGGCCCGAACCAGUAGACGUUGUAAAGUCUUUGGAUGACUUGUGGAUAGUGGUGAAAUUCCAAUCGAACCUGGAUAUAGCUGGUUCUCCCCGAAAUAGCUUUAGGGCUAGCGUCUUGAUAAGCGUGACGAGGGUAGAGCACUAAUUAUAUGAUGGCCCCAUCUAGGGGUACUGAAUAUAGAUAAACUCCGAAUAUCGUCAUUAGCAUGCAAGGCAGUCAGUAUAUGGGUGAUAACGUCCAUAUGCGCGAGGGAAACAACCCAGAUCGUCAGCUAAGGUCCCAAAAUAUGUACUAAGUGGGAAAGGAUGUUGAGUUCCAUAGACAGCUUGGAUGUUGGCUUAGAAGCAGCCAUCAUUUAACGAGUGCGUAACAGCUCACAAGUCGAGGGAUUCAGCGCCGAAAAUUUACCGGGGCUAAGUACAUUACCGAAGCUACGAAUUUAUUUAUGAAUUCGUUCAUAUUUGAGUGGUAGGGGAGCGUUCCAUACUGGGAUGAAGUCAGAUCGUGAGGACUGGUGGACUGUAUGGAAGUGAGAAUGCCGGCGUGAGUAUCGAUUGAAGGUGAGAAUCCUUCACGCCGAUUGAGCAAGGAUUCCUGGGGAAGGUUCGUCCUCCUAGGGUUAGUCGGGACCUAAGGCGAGGCCGAAAGGCGUAGUCGAUGGAAAGCAGGUUGAUAUUCCUGCACCGACAUAUAGAGGGAUGGAAUGACGGAGAAGGCUAGGAAAAGCAUACGAUUGAAAGUGUAUGUCCAAGCAGAUGAGGUGGUUGUGUAGGUAAAUCCGCACAAUAUUCAAACAUUGAGCUGUGAUGGGGAGUGAACCCUUUUGGUAUUAACGAAGUUUCCGACGUCACACUUCCAAGAAAAGUUUCUACUGUUAAUCUAUAUGUUGCCCGUACUCAUAACCAACACUGGUGCUCAAGGAGAAUAUCCUAAGGCGAGCGAGAAAAUUGAGGCUAAGGAACUCGGCAAAAUGACCCCGUAAGUUAGCGAAAAGGGGUGCUGAUAUGUCUUCGGAUAAAUCAGCCACAGAAAAGAGGUCCAGCCAACUGUUUAACAAAAACACAGCUCUCUGCCAAAGCGUAAGCUGAAGUAUAGGGGGUGACGCCUGCCCGGUGCUCGAAGGUUAAGGGAAUCUGUUAGUAUUCGUACGAAGCAGUGAACUGAAGCCCGAGUGAACGGCGGCUGUAACUAUAACGGUCCUAAGGUAGCGAAAUUCCUUGUCAGGUAAGUUCUGACGUGCACGAAUGGUGUAACGAUUUGGGCGCUGUCUCGGGGUGAUGCUCGGUGAAAUUGGAAUCCCGGUGAAGAUACCGGGUACCUGCAGUAGGACGGAAAGACCCCGUGAACCUUUACUGUAACCUGGCAUUGGGCUUUGAUAUAUUAUGUGUAGGAUAGGUGGGAGAUUUUGAAGUAGAAACGCUAGUUUUUAUGGAGUCAUUCUUGAAAUACCACCCUUAAUAUGUUGAGGUCCUAACGGAAGUAAUCAAUGUUGCUUUUGGACAUUGUCAGGCGGGCAGUUUGACUGGGGCGGUCGCCUC